RNAcentral lists this ribosomal RNA (580 nucleotides) under Trichoderma atroviride. RNAcentral describes it as "eukaryotic LSU rRNA". The stretch from base 186 to 339 matches the Rfam family "5.8S ribosomal RNA". Lineage: Eukaryota; Fungi; Ascomycota; Sordariomycetes; Hypocreales; Hypocreaceae. The record is from RNAcentral.
CCGAGUUUACAACUCCCAAACCCAAUGUGAACCAUACCAAACUGUUGCCUCGGCGGGGUCACGCCCCGGGUGCGUCGCAGCCCCGGAACCAGGCGCCCGCCGGAGGGACCAACCAAACUCUUUUCUGUAGUCCCCUCGCGGACGUUAUUUCUUACAGCUCUGAGCAAAAAUUCAAAAUGAAUCAAAACUUUCAACAACGGAUCUCUUGGUUCUGGCAUCGAUGAAGAACGCAGCGAAAUGCGAUAAGUAAUGUGAAUUGCAGAAUUCAGUGAAUCAUCGAAUCUUUGAACGCACAUUGCGCCCGCCAGUAUUCUGGCGGGCAUGCCUGUCCGAGCGUCAUUUCAACCCUCGAACCCCUCCGGGGGGUCGGCGUUGGGGACCUCGGGAGCCCCUAAGACGGGAUCCCGGCCCCGAAAUACAGUGGCGGUCUCGCCGCAGCCUCUCCUGCGCAGUAGUUUGCACAACUCGCACCGGGAGCGCGGCGCGUCCACGUCCGUAAAACACCCAACUUCUGAAAUGUUGACCUCGGAUCAGGUAGGAAUACCCGCUGAACUUAAGCAUAUCAAUAAGGCCGGAGGAA